RNAcentral lists this long non-coding RNA (848 nucleotides) under Oryzias javanicus (javanese ricefish). RNAcentral's name for it is "lncRNA (ENSOJAG00000005593.1)". The record is from RNAcentral. Lineage: Eukaryota; Metazoa; Chordata; Actinopteri; Beloniformes; Adrianichthyidae.
ACACUUUUUUUUUUUAUGCACCGUUUUCAGAGCGGUCAUCAAAAUGAUGAAAGAUCACAGUCACUUGAUGGAGGUGGACUCCAUUUUGAUUCGAUCCUGCUUGUAUCUGAUGUCAUUUGAUAAGCUGAUGGAGUACACAAAGGAAAUGAACCCAGAGCUUCUGGACAUUCUUCUUGUUGUCACACAUAAAGUUCCUCCGGAGAUCUCUGCCAGCAGUUUUGAAGUGAGUUCAUCUUGAAUACACAUUUAAGACUAUGAUUGCAAUUGUAUUAUUGAUCACAUUGCAAAAUGUAUCUGUGCUUUUGAGUGUAGUAACGCCGUUUCUGUCUGUCUUAUUUUCUUUUUAGGCAGCGACAGAAAUCCUUAGUCAUAUUCAACAAAAUCUCAUUGAGGAAAAAUACAGUUACUUCACAGAGACAUACAGAAGGCAGUGUCUGGGGACGGCAGUGAAACUGUUGGAGAAGAUCUGCAAAGGGGUCAAGCUGGGAUCAUCUCUCAACGACUUUCCUGAUGUUCCUCUGGCAUGCAUGAAUCUAGUGGCCUCAGUGUCUGAUUUUCUGCUGUGUAACAAGCUGGAGGCUCAAGAAAAUGAUCCAGGGAUCCAAAAUUUUACAAAAGACUUGAUCAAUCAGGCCAUGGACUUGAUGAGAACUUGGAUGAGCCAGUCUUUCAAACCAAGUUUUCACAGAAGGAUUUUUUUGUACUUUUUUCAAGAGAAGAAAGCUGACUUUGAAGUGAGCUAUUUGCCUUUACAUAUGAAAAACAAACAAAUCCUGCUACCUAAAGUAUUUGAAAAUAAUAUUGUUUUUAAUCAUACAAUAUGUGUUCACAGUUGUGGAAUAACGUGA